RNAcentral lists this ribosomal RNA (384 nucleotides) under Cratena pawarshindeorum. RNAcentral describes it as "partial large subunit ribosomal RNA". It matches the Rfam family "Archaeal large subunit ribosomal RNA", at positions 2001 to 2665 of the family's 2987-position model. Lineage: Eukaryota; Metazoa; Mollusca; Gastropoda; Nudibranchia; Facelinidae. The record is from RNAcentral.
UGAAUGGCCGCGGUAUUCUGACCGUGCUAAGGUAGCGUAAUCAGUUGGCUUUUAAAUGGAGUCAGGUAUGAAUGGGAUAACCUGGUUUAGCUGUCUCCGAAAUAUUCUAUUGAAUUUACUGUUUAAGUGAAAAAGCUUAAAUAUAAUAAAGGGACGAGAAGACCCUUAGAAUUUUUUUUAAAAAGAUUAAACUUUGUGAUUUUGUUGGGGCGACAGAGAAAAAGUUAAAACUUUCCGUGGAGUACAAGCCGAAUUUUAAGUGAGAAUAAAUUACCUGAGGGAUAACAGCAUAAUUCUAUAAUUGAGUUUGUGACCUCGAUGUUGGACUAGGAAACUAGCAGAUUAGCCGUUUGUUUUGUUGGUUCUGUUCGAACUUUAAUUCCU